Molecule: long non-coding RNA, 1095 nt
Filed under: Medicago truncatula (barrel medic)
Lineage: Eukaryota; Viridiplantae; Streptophyta; Magnoliopsida; Fabales; Fabaceae
Description: long non-coding RNA (MTRU_LNC007378)
Source: RNAcentral
UCAAACUUCAUGAAAAUGUCAUAGUACUCUUGGUUAUAUGAGAAGUGACGAACAUUUUCAAGGAUGUCACCACAUUCAAGCCUGCAACAACUUUUUCCUGAUACGAAUGUAGCUAAAUCAUUGAUAAGGUCAUGCAUGACAAAUUUUUCCCCACGAUCAUCAUCGCUUAAUUGUUGAAUUAACGAUCUCGAUAACAAUUCAGCAAAACAAUCAUCACCUAAUUCCUCCAACUUUUUCCCCCCUUGAGAACAAUCAAGGAAACCUUCUGCCAUCCACAACAAAACCAAUUGCUUCUUAUCGAGUGGGCAAUCCUUUGGAAAAAUUGAACAAUAUGCAAAGCAUCUUUUCAANGCUCUUUGAUACUUAACCCCACGUGGCGCUUACCCACUAAAAAAAAGGUGAGAGUUUGAAGGUUUUCUAGUCCCCCAAUUUCCAAAGGUAACUCAUUAAUGUUAGUCCCACUUAUAUCAAGGUGACGUAAACUGACUAAAUUUCCAAUAUGUAUUGGAAAUUCAGUGAGACUCCAGCAGUUUGAUAAAUUCAAGGUCUGUAAAUUGUAAAGGUUACAUAUUGUAUCAGGAAAGCUUUCGAUUCCAGUGAAGGAGAUAUCUAGAUACCGCAACAGCACCAAAUUCCCAAUUGAAUCUGGUAGCUUGGUGAUGUUUUUAUACCCUGAUAGCGAUAACACACGCAACCUUUUUUGUGACGGUAGAAAGUCAUCAAUCACCUUGAAGGAUAAGUAAUUGUGCCACCACGUCGUCAAGCAAAUACAUAGGAAGCUUCGCAAACAUUUAAAAUUGUGUAAUUUCUCAAACUUCAUGAAAAUGUCAUAGUACUCUUGGUUAUAUGAGAAGUGACGAACAUUUUCAAGGAUGUCACCACAUUCAAGCCUGCAACAACUUUUUCCUGAUACGAAUGUAGCUAAAUCAUUGAAAAGGUCAUGCAUGACAAAUUUUUCCCCACGAUCAUCAUCGCUUAAUUGUUGAAUUAACGAUCUCGAUAACAAUUCAGCAAAACAAUCAUCACCUAAUUCCUCCAACUUUUUCCCCCCUUGAGAACAAUCAAGGAAACCUUCUGCCAUCCACAACAAAACCA